GAUCCUGGCUCAGGAUGAACGCUAGCUACAGGCUUAACACAUGCAAGUCGAGGGGCAGCGCAGUGUAGCAAUACAUGGGCGGCGACCGGCGCACGGGUGCGUAACGCGUAUCCAACCUUCCCGUUACUCUCGGAUAGCCUUCUGAAAGGGAGAUUAAUACGAGAUGGUGUUGAAAUUCCGCAUGUUAUUUCAACUAAAGAUUCAUCGGUAACGGAUGGGGAUGCGUGACAUUAGGUAGAUGGCGGGGUAACGGCCCACCAUGCCCACGAUGUCUAGGGGUUCUGAGAGGAAGGUCCCCCACACUGGAACUGAGACACGGUCCAGACUCCUACGGGAGGCAGCAGUGAGGAAUAUUGGUCAAUGGCCGGAAGGCUGAACCAGCCAAGUAGCGUGAAGGAUGAAGGUUCUAUGGAUUGUAAACUUCUUUUAUACGGGAAUAAAACCACCUACGUGUAGGUGCUUGUAUGUACCGUAUGAAUAAGCAUUGGCUAACUCCGUG
This 499-nucleotide ribosomal RNA is filed under the name uncultured bacterium. RNAcentral describes it as "bacterial SSU rRNA". It matches the Rfam family "Bacterial small subunit ribosomal RNA", at positions 15 to 507 of the family's 1533-position model. The record is from RNAcentral.